Non-coding RNA from Arachis ipaensis, 867 nucleotides. The record is from RefSeq and is a predicted model, not a curated record. NCBI's taxonomy places the organism in Eukaryota, Viridiplantae, Streptophyta, Magnoliopsida, Fabales, Fabaceae.
AUUAGAACUAAGAAAUAUUAUAAAAGUAACUGUUUGAAGUUUGAAGCUUAUAAUUAGAUGAAUAAUAGCGUGUCAAAAUGGGAUAAAAAGAAGCAUGUUUAGCAAUUAAUGAAAGGGGUAGCUGGCACACCAUAAACUAUCAUCGUAUCUACUGAAUACAUUGCAUUGCGCGUGGUAUAAUGUUCUUGACAUUUACCUUCCAUUAAAUCUUGUUUCCAUAUUUCUAUGCCCCCAUUAUUCAAUUCAACUAUAUAACAAUCACCGUAUGAAUCAGAAUCACUCACACAAAACCUUCUUCUAUUCAUAUUGUCUUUCCGCAAGCAGCAGAUGAAAGGGGACACAGCAAAGAGUGGUGCAGAGUUGGAACUGAAUCUGAAGCUGAUGUGUUUCCCAGCAUCAUCAUCAACAACAACAACGGAUGAAUCAUCAUCAUUGGAAUCUUCGAAUGCGUCAUCAGAGAUGUCGUGCGUGUCUUCUUCAUCAGAAGAAGCAAAGCCAAUGGUGCUGGUAGGUUGUCUUGGGUGCUUGAUGUAUGUUCUUCUUUCAGGUGCUGAUCCCAACCCUAAGUGCCCCAACUGCAACAGUAGGGUCCUUCUUGAUAUCCUCAAGAACGAGAAGAUCAACAACCCAAUUCCAUAGCUAGCUACCAACUUCAAAAAUAAAGUUCAUGCAUGUAUCUCUUUCAGAUUAUUUUAUUUCUCAUUUGUUACUGCUUGUUCAUUAAUAAUAGUACCUAGAUUAUAUUUAUUUAUAUUAUUUUCUUCCUUGUAUCUUGUAUUCAAUUCUUGUGUAUGAUGAAGGGAAUUGAAGAUCAGGAGAUUUGAUUUAUAAUAUAAACAUGAUUAUAUAUGCUUUGUUUAUUGAUCA